UACGUAGGGGGCGAGCGUUGUCCGGAUUUAUUGGGCGUAAAGCGCUCGCAGGCGGUCCGAUGCGUCGUGCGUGAAAGCCCCCGGCUCAACUGGGGAGGGUCGUGCGAUACGGUCGGACUUGAGGCCAGUAGGGGGAUGCGGAAUUCCCGGUGUAGCAGUGAAAUGCGUAGAUAUCGGGAGGAAUACCGAUGGCGAAGGCAGGUCUCUGGGCUGACACUGACGCUCAUGCACGAAAGCGUGGGGAGCAAACAGG
RNAcentral lists this ribosomal RNA (253 nucleotides) under uncultured bacterium. RNAcentral describes it as "partial 16S ribosomal RNA". It matches the Rfam family "Bacterial small subunit ribosomal RNA", at positions 524 to 776 of the family's 1533-position model. The record is from RNAcentral.